Solanum dulcamara is the source of this 395-nucleotide long non-coding RNA. RefSeq lists it as uncharacterized. NCBI's taxonomy places the organism in Eukaryota, Viridiplantae, Streptophyta, Magnoliopsida, Solanales, Solanaceae. The record is from RefSeq and is a predicted model, not a curated record. The transcript has 3 exons.
GAAAGAAGAGAAAUCAAAGAGAGAAAAUCGGCUAUGGAGGGAGUAAUUUUACUCCUUGAAAUUUCAUCCAAGAAUUAUUUUCUCCUAGUAUUCCUACUAAUUCAAGGAUCCUCUACAACAUGAUGAAGUUAUUUUGGAAGAUAGGAGCAUUGUUUGGUUGAUUUGAAGCUUUGGUAAAGUGAAUGAGUUGGAAGGAAAAGAUUUUGGAGGAAACGGGAGUUGAAUUUGGACAAACGUAAAAAGCCGAUAAGGUAUCGAAGUUCGAUUUGCUGAUCCAUCCGUUUAGGAUAUUUGCUGCAUCGUUGACAGUGCUCCCUUGUUCGGAGCUUGUAUUUUGGUACUGACUUUAUCUCUGUAUAUUUAGAUAUGUUGGUCAGGGGUACGACGGGGCCCUG